RNAcentral lists this ribosomal RNA (392 nucleotides) under uncultured bacterium. RNAcentral describes it as "partial 16S ribosomal RNA". It matches the Rfam family "Bacterial small subunit ribosomal RNA", at positions 523 to 918 of the family's 1533-position model. The record is from RNAcentral.
AUACGGAGGAUCCGAGCGUUAUCCGGAUUUAUUGGGUUUAAAGGGUGCGCAGGCGGCCAUUUAAGUCAGCGGUUAAAUCGUGGGGCUCAACCCCAUUCUGCCGUUGAUACUGGGUGGCUUGAUUGCGGUCGAGGUUGGCGGAAUUCGUUGUGUAGCGGUGAAAUGCAUAGAUAUGACGAAGAACACCAAUUGCGUAGGCAGCUGACCAGACCGCAAAUGACGCUCAUGCACGAAAGUGCGGGGAUCGAACAGGAUUAGAUACCCUGGUAGUCCGCACAGUAAACGAUGAAUACUUGUUUUCGGCGAUAUAAUGUCGGAGGCAAAGCGAAAGCGAUAAGUAUUCCACCUGGGGAGUACGCCGGCAACGGUGAAACUCAAAUGAAUUGACGGGG